Salmo salar (Atlantic salmon) is the source of this 188-nucleotide non-coding RNA. The record is from RefSeq and is a predicted model, not a curated record. Lineage: Eukaryota; Metazoa; Chordata; Actinopteri; Salmoniformes; Salmonidae.
GAAACUCCCUGAGUUCUUGUACCACCUCUCCAGGCUGUCUGUGGUGACUCCAGUCGGCUGCCCAGUUUACCAGACCAUUUUUGUGAGGCUGUACCAAGCCAUGUCAGCAUUGCCUCAAGAGAUGGAGCCAAUCAUCUGGGCCAGUGUUUAUGACCUCACAGAAUCUGCACCAAUGGAUUGUGCUCUGG